Molecule: long non-coding RNA, 809 nt
Organism: Pecten maximus
Lineage: Eukaryota; Metazoa; Mollusca; Bivalvia; Pectinida; Pectinidae
Exons: 2
Source: RefSeq, a predicted model, not a curated record
AGCUGAAUCCCUCUUCUCUCCCCCUCCCCUCCCUUAUAUAUCCCACCUAUACGAGCCAGGCGCGUAUUUGUAACGUAAUGUCAACAUUUACAAAAUAACUAUAAUUUAACGUUUAUCAAUUCAAAAACAUGUACUUCAAUUAUCUUUACUUAAAAUUGAAUAAGUUUCUCAUUACUUAUUUAGAUAAUAAAUCAAAACUGUAAAUUAAUAUAAAGUUUUGGCGGCUUUCUUCUACUUCCGGCGGUUACAUAUGUGUACAGUUAAACAUUGCCUAGAUUAUACACACAAGUGGUCAGUCAAUUGAAAUACUACAAACUGGUGUGACUAUGUGAGAUUAUAAUAGGUGAAAAACCUUCAAGUAUGUCGGAUAAUCCAUCGUUUCUAUCUGGGUCGACGAACCGAUUUAUUUUCCGCCGAAUUUGAGGAAAAAGUGAUUUUUCUCAUGAUCAUGUUGUGGAUAGUUUAUCGGAAGAUGAGGAGAUGUACAUGCCGCCAAUCAAUCGUCGAGAUUUAAAUAUAUGACAACGUCUUACCGUAGUCCAGGUCUCUCCGAAAGGAUUCGGGUAAAUGAAAUACGAAAUCGCAGACUUACAAAAAUGGUACAGUAGAUAUAAACAAUAAAACUCCGGCAGGAUCUUCAUCGAGAUCCACACAUGUAUAUGUGCGCACUCAUGUUGGACACAGGUCAAGCAGCGCGCCAGGGAGUGGACAAAGCAGCAGCAGGAAGGAAACGCCGGAUCGGAUUACGCCUGAUAAACUCACAACAAGGGAAGCUGCUUGCUUGAAGUAGGCAUCAUAGAACGAAGGGG